UACAGAGGUCCCGAGCGUUGUUCGGAUUCACUGGGCGUAAAGGGUGCGUAGGUGGCUUGAAAAGUUUGAUGUGAAAGCUCGGGGCUUAACCCUGAAAUGGCAUUGAAUACUGUCGAGCUGGAGGUUUGGAGGGGGGACUGGAAUUCUUGGUGUAGCAGUGAAAUGCGUAGAUAUCAAGAGGAACACCAGUGGCGAAGGCGAGUCCCUGGACAACACCUGACACUGAGGCACGAAAGCUAGGGGAGCAAACAGG
Molecule: ribosomal RNA, 253 nt
Filed under: uncultured bacterium
Lineage: Bacteria
Description: partial 16S ribosomal RNA
Rfam family: Bacterial small subunit ribosomal RNA
Source: RNAcentral